This 30-nucleotide non-coding RNA is filed under the name Homo sapiens (human). The record is from RNAcentral. Lineage: Eukaryota; Metazoa; Chordata; Mammalia; Primates; Hominidae.
GGGAUGUGCGGUUUACCUAGGACCAGGCCU